UAAAGGUUUGGUCCUAGCCUUACUAUCAACUGUUUCUCAAUUUAUACAUGCAAGUCUCAGCACGCCAGUGAGAACGCCCUCUCAACCUUCACCAGGAUAAGGAGCCGGUAUCAGACACAACCUCGUCCACAACACCUAGUCUCACCACACCCCCAAGGGUCAUCAGCAGUAAUAAAUCUUGAGCAUAAGCGACAGCUUGACUCAGUUAGAGAAAAGAGAGCCGGCUAACCCGGUGCCAGCCGCCGCGGCUACACCGUGGGGCUCAAGUUGAUAUUCAUCGGCGUUAAGCGUGAUUAAAGUCCACUUAAAUUAGGGCCAAAUUAACACCUAGUAGUAUAAAGCUCGUGACUAAGAAGAACAUAAACGAAAGUUGCCCUAACCUACACACUUGAACACACGACAGCUGGGAAACAAACUGGGAUUAGAUACCCCACUAUGCCCAACCGUAAACAAUUAACUCACACCCGCAAACGCCAGGGAACUACGAGCCAUGCUUAAAACCCAAAGGACUUGACGGUGUCCCACCCCCCUAGAGGAGCCUGUUCUAUAAUCGAUAAUCCCCGCUAUACCCAACCCCUUCUUGCUUAUCAGUCUGUAUACCUCCGUCGAAAGCUUACCAUGUGAACGCCUAAAGUAGGCCUAAUGACCCACAUCAAUACGUCAGGUCAAGGUGCAGCUUAAGAAGUGGAAAGUAAUUGGCUACAAUUUCUAACCUAGAACAAACGAAAGAUUAUGUGAAAUCAUAAUCAUGAAGGCGGAUUUAGUAGUAAAAAGAAAAUAGAGUGUUCUUUUUAACCCGGCUCUGGGACGCGUACACACCGCCCGUCACCCUCUUCAAUAGUAUUCUCACUAGUUUUUAACCCUAUCUCACGUCUUAGAAGAGGUAAGUCGUAACAUGGUAAGUGUACUGGAAAGUGCACUUGGUAUAUAC
Molecule: non-coding RNA, 931 nt
Filed under: Odorrana ishikawae (Ishikawa's frog)
Lineage: Eukaryota; Metazoa; Chordata; Amphibia; Anura; Ranidae
Description: 12S rRNA
Rfam family: Bacterial small subunit ribosomal RNA
Source: RNAcentral